AUGGCAUCAUUCAAUCCUGUUGAUUCAUUUGCUGCUUAUGAUCAAGAGAAGUUGGUCAAGCUUGCCCACUUUUAUCCUAAGGAUUUCUCAAAGACGGAAAUAUUGAAACUUCCUUAUGAAUUGUCAAUGUUUAUUGCUGAUAUGCGUAGAGAUGAAAGAUUU
This 162-nucleotide ribosomal RNA is filed under the name Triticum aestivum (bread wheat). RNAcentral's name for it is "partial small subunit ribosomal RNA". The record is from RNAcentral. Lineage: Eukaryota; Viridiplantae; Streptophyta; Magnoliopsida; Poales; Poaceae.